Molecule: ribosomal RNA, 230 nt
Filed under: uncultured bacterium
Lineage: Bacteria
Description: partial 16S ribosomal RNA
Rfam family: Bacterial small subunit ribosomal RNA
Source: RNAcentral
GACGUGCGCAGGCGGUUAUGUAAGACAGAUGUGAAAUACCCCGGGCCUCAACCUGGGAACUGCAUUAGUGACUGCAUAGCUGGAGUACGGCAGAGGGGGAUGGAAUUCCGCGUGUAGCAGUGAAAUGCGUAGAUAUGCGGAGGAACACCGAUGGCGAAGGCAAUCCCCUGGGCCUGUACUGACGCUCAUGCACGAAAGCGUGGGGAGCAAACAGGAUUAGAUACCCGUGU